AGUAAUAUGUCUGAUUUGAAGUAAUAAACUGUAAAUUUAUUUAUAGAAUUUUUAUAUUCUUGUUACU
This 67-nucleotide transfer RNA is filed under the name Nasonia giraulti. RNAcentral's name for it is "tRNA-Tyr". The record is from RNAcentral. Lineage: Eukaryota; Metazoa; Arthropoda; Insecta; Hymenoptera; Pteromalidae.